GACCUCUAAUCGGAAAAGACUACCCGCUGAGUUUAAGCAUAUCAAUAAGCGGAGGAA
This 57-nucleotide ribosomal RNA is filed under the name Plagiothecium cavifolium. RNAcentral describes it as "partial 26S ribosomal RNA". Lineage: Eukaryota; Viridiplantae; Streptophyta; Bryopsida; Hypnales; Plagiotheciaceae. The record is from RNAcentral. RNAcentral also lists the same sequence under 1 other name.